CCAAUAGCGUAUAUUAAAGUUGUUGCAGUUAAAAAGCUCGUAGUUGAAUUUCGGGAUCUGUCCAUUGGUCGGGCUUCACGGUCCGUACUGGUGAGAUGGGUUCCUACCUUCUGAAUAACCAGCAUGCCAUUCAGUUGGUGCGCUGGGGAAGCAGAGCUACUACCGUGAAAAAAUUAGAGUGCUUAAAGCAGGCUAGUGCUUGAAUAGAGUAGCAUGGAAUAAUAAAAUAGGACGGCAUGGUUCUAUUUUGUUGGUUUCUAGGAUCACCGUAAUGAUUAAUAGGGAUAGUUGGGGGCAUUAGUAUUCAAUUGUCAGAGGUGAAAUUCUUGGAUUUAUUGAAGACUAACUUCUGCGAAAGCAUUUGCCAAGGAUGUUUUCAUUAAUCAAGAACGAAAGUUAGGGGAUCGAAGACGAUCAGAUACCGUCGUAGUCUUAACCAUAAACUAUGCCGACUAGGGAUCGGACGAUGUUAAUUUUUUAAUGACUCGUUCGGCGCCUUACG
This 502-nucleotide ribosomal RNA is filed under the name uncultured Glomeromycotina. Its description in RNAcentral is "partial small subunit ribosomal RNA". It matches the Rfam family "Eukaryotic small subunit ribosomal RNA", at positions 591 to 1092 of the family's 1831-position model. The record is from RNAcentral. Lineage: Eukaryota; Fungi; Glomeromycota.